GAUGAACGCUGGCGGCGUGCCUAAUACAUGCAAGUCGAGCGAACGGACGAGAAGCUUGCUUCUCUGAUGUUAGCGGCGGACGGGUGAGUAACACGUGGAUAACCUACCUAUAAGACUGGGAUAACUUCGGGAAACCGGAGCUAAUACCGGAUAAUAUUUUGAACCGCAUGGUUCAAAAGUGAAAGACGGUCUUGCUGUCACUUAUAGAUGGAUCCGCGCUGCAUUAGCUAGUUGGUAAGGUAACGGCUUACCAAGGCAACGAUGCAUAGCCGACCUGAGAGGGUGAUAGGCGACACGGGAGCUGAAACACGGUCCUGAGUCCUGCGGGAGGCAGCAGUAUGGAAUCUUCCGCAAUGGGCGAAAGCCUGACGGAGCAACGCCGCGUGAGUGAUGAAGGUCUUCGGAUCGUAAAACUCUGUUAUUAGGGAAGAACAUAUGUGUAAGUAACUGUGCACAUCUUGACGGUACCUAAUCAGAAAGCCACGGCUAACUACGUG
Molecule: ribosomal RNA, 497 nt
Filed under: uncultured bacterium
Lineage: Bacteria
Description: partial 16S ribosomal RNA
Rfam family: Bacterial small subunit ribosomal RNA
Source: RNAcentral